This 254-nucleotide long non-coding RNA is filed under the name Nicotiana benthamiana. RNAcentral's name for it is "long non-coding RNA (NBEN_LNC001380)". The record is from RNAcentral. Lineage: Eukaryota; Viridiplantae; Streptophyta; Magnoliopsida; Solanales; Solanaceae.
UUCUUUCUUGGGCUCGCUUUUUACAAAGAUGAACCAUCAAGUUGGUUCGUCGAGGUCGUCAUCAUCUACUCAGACUUCGGCGCAAUAGGCCUUAUGGAUUUCAUCCCAAGUGGGUGGGGGAUCGACUGGCUCAGUAGCUUUCCAGUCACUCUUAAAACCACUAUGUUCAACCCAUUCUGAAUGGUUGUGACUUCCAUUCUUUCGGACACAUUAAGUAAGGUCAUCCUCACCCUGUUGAAUAGGGCAAAAAAUAC